AUUAAAGAGGCAGAUAGGAAAGAGCCCAUUUCUUUAUUAUCAUUCUCUAAUGGUCGACUUGAUUCCUGUUCAGAUGUCAAAGCAAAGCAUUCCCUUUACCAAGAGAAAGGUAUGAAGAGGAGGACACUGGUUACAAAGACAGACCACAUGACAUACAUUGGUACCAAUUACGAGAUUGAGGGAACCAUGAACACCUUCCCUUUUAGAAAGUGCAUGAGAUCAUUUAUAAUCUUGCCACACCCCUUUCAGCAAAUGAUAGGACGAGACUAUUUAAUUAAAGACCUUUUCACACUAGCAAAAGGUGGUUUCCAAUUAAUGCACAUCACUCUCAUUUCACCUCCAGAGGUGGAUUGUAUUGAUAAAGUGCAUCAAAGAGCUUCAAAAACUGUGUCAGUGUGAAAAGACCUUUAGUGUUUAUGUCCGUAUAUGAUUGGUGUUCUUGAUAAAGA
This is a long non-coding RNA of Amphimedon queenslandica, 449 nucleotides long. RefSeq lists it as uncharacterized. Lineage: Eukaryota; Metazoa; Porifera; Demospongiae; Haplosclerida; Niphatidae. The transcript is spliced from 4 exons. The record is from RefSeq and is a predicted model, not a curated record.